AUGCACAUUAUUGUUUGCAAAUAUUAAGAUUGUUGCAAGAAAUGUACCAAAGUGACUGAGAAAAACCAUAAAAUGGUCAGGUUGAUGUAGGCUUGAUUUAACACCACCAGGUGGCGCCCAAUAACAAAAAGUUAGCUGUCUCCAAGAUCAGGGGGCGUGUGGCGGAACCGAGAGCGAACGAGAGGGAGAGAGAAAUAUCACAACUCAGCCAGUCGAGCAAUUUGAGAGGCUGCUGUCACGCACCCUGCGCACAGAAGCGACCAGCCGUGCGCCUUCUUCAUGCGCGGGUUCAGCACCACACUGAGCUGGACAGGAUGCUCACGGACAGAUGGAAACACACCGAGUCUCUGCCGUAGAGACAGAGGGUCCACCCGUACAGCAAGUGCAUAAGGAGGAGAAGUAUUCGCCGGUACUCUAGGGCUGCAUCCCUGUCUUCAGAGGGGACAGCAUGGACAGAACAGUUAUCGUUAAAAUUGUAGUCUCAAAAAUUCGAUUCUAACAAGAGGGAAUUUGCAGGAAAGUGCGAACGAAGGAUUUGUCGACAGGCUUGUCGGCAAUUUGUUUUAUAGCCUAGCACUUCAAUAUUAAGUUGCUCGGAAGAAUGGAAAAGCCCACCCAGGCUCAUCUGCAGUCGAGCAUAUCCAAGAGCGCAGAAGGUCCCUCAGAGGACCUUUCCAAACUUACGGAUGAGGAGCUUCUGAAAUGGAGCAAAGAGGAGCUGGUUCGCCGGCUCCGCAGAGCCGAAGCUGAGAAGAUGAGCGUCAUAGUGGACCACAGCAAUCUCAUCCGAGAGGUGAACCGCAGGCUUCAGCAGCAUCUCAACGAGAUACGGGGGCUGAAGGAGGUGAAUCAGAAGCUGCAAGAGGACAACCAGGAGCUGCGGGACCUCUGCUGCUUUCUGGAUGACGACCGGCAGAAAGGGAAAAAGGUGUCGAGGGAGUGGCAGCGCCUGGGCCGCUACAGCGCAGGGAUCAUGCGUAAGGAGGUGACGCUUUACCUGCAGAAGCUGAAAGAGCUGGAGCAGAGGCAGGAGGAAGUGGUGAGGGAGAACCUUGAACUGAGAGAGCUGUGCCUCAUGUUGGAUGAGGAGAAGGGCUCUGGAGGUACCAGCGGGUCGACGGGUACUGGGGGACCAGCCGGCUGCAGGAGUUCAAUCGAUAGUCAGAGCAGCCUGUCUCACGCUAGUGGCCCUGGGCCUGGCCUACUAAGGGAUGUGGGUGACGGGAGCAGUACCUCCAGCGCGGGCAGCACCGACAGCCCUGACCAUCUCACACAUAAGCAGCAGCUGUUGGGUGGCCCGGUUGGAGGCAGUCCUGACCACCUACAUAAGCCAGGCUCAGGGGAGGAGGCAAAGGGUCUUGAGCAAACAAGCCGAAGACAUAGCACCAGCCAGGAGUACGCAGCACAUACCUUUCCCCAGGUGUGCCGGUCUCGCUGCGGGUCCUUCUCCAGUCCGGACCAUAAGGGCCUGCGGGGUCUCAGUCCAGAGAAACUUGGCAAGAGAGGCAGCCCAGAGCAGUUCUCAAAACUGGUGUCCUCUCAGCCGCCUGGCAGUCCGGACCUUUUCCAGAAGCACAGGGGUAGCAUGGGUAGUGUGUGUGGGAGUCCAGAGCCCAAACAGAUUCUAUCAGGGACACCGGAGCACCUACAGAAGGGCCGUGUCAUAUCUGGGAGCCCUGAGUUGUUGAGGCAUCAGCAUGGCAAGUUUGGCAGCCCCGGCCGAGAGGUGGCACAGAAGAGGCCGGGCGUAGAGGAGAUGUCCCCUCAUCACCGGAACAUCUAUAGCGGUAUGAACGGUGGCUCCGAUUGGAGCCUGCUGUAGCACCCACAAUGAGAUAUACGGAGUCCCAUUUGAGUACACCACACGCAGAGGGGAUGGUCAUCCUUCAUCCUGGAGCCAGCAAAGCCCCAAUUCCCAGCCAGGCACUAAACCAUCCCAUUCAGCCAGCCAUGAUCUGCAUUUAGUUUAGUUUUGCUUUGCUCAGUUCAGGAGAGGCCAUGGCCAGAUAGAGCAGGGGCUUUAGUGUCUGGCUAGAGCAGAACAUCUCAUCUCUGGUAAAGGUCGGUGGUGUCCAGUCUUGGUCCUCUUGGGCCAUGAUUUUAGCAGGCUUUAGCUGCUUCCUAUCAAUCAGCCUCUGUACCUGUGCCUCCGAAGUCAUUUUUUUACGCACUGGAACCCAGCUCAGGGAACACUGUAAUCAAUCAAUGAAAGACCAAAAAGCUCAGAGGCCCAACAAAAGCCAGAAGACAGUGCUGCCCAGGAGGACCAGGAGUGGACACCAUUGUAUUUACCAUAUGCACGCAGCUCUGAUAUCGGCUGGCUGUUGCACCAGCUCCUGUAG
This is an RNA transcript of Sinocyclocheilus anshuiensis, 2342 nucleotides long. It is a transcript of the gene named coiled-coil domain-containing protein 85A-like, with no coding region annotated. Lineage: Eukaryota; Metazoa; Chordata; Actinopteri; Cypriniformes; Cyprinidae. The transcript is spliced from 3 exons. The record is from RefSeq and is a predicted model, not a curated record.